AUUGAACGCUGGCGGCAUGCUUUACACAUGCAAGUCGAACGGUAACAGGCCUUCUGGUGCUGACGAGUGGCGAACGGGUGAGUAAUGCAUCGGAACGUACCCAGAGGUGGGGGAUAACGCAGCGAAAGCUGUGCUAAUACUGCAUGUGAUCUGAGGAUGAAAGCGGGGGACCGAGCAGCAAUGUUUGGCCUCGCGCCUUUGGAGCGGCCGAUGUCGGAUUAGCUAGUUGGUGGGGUAAAGGCCUACCAAGGCGACGAUCCGUAGCUGGUCUGAGAGGACGACCAGCCACACUGGGAAUGAGACACGGAGCAGAAUCCGACGGGAGGCAGCAGUGGGGAAUUUUGGACAAGGGGCGGAAGCCUGAUCCAGCAAUGCCGCGUGCGGGAAGAAGGCCUUCGGGUUGUAAACCGCUUUUGGCAGGAACGAAACGGUGUCCGCUAAUACCGGGCGCUAAUGACGGUACCUGCAGAAUAAGCACCGGCUAACUACGU
RNAcentral lists this ribosomal RNA (491 nucleotides) under uncultured bacterium. RNAcentral's name for it is "partial 16S ribosomal RNA". It matches the Rfam family "Bacterial small subunit ribosomal RNA", at positions 29 to 506 of the family's 1533-position model. The record is from RNAcentral.